This 419-nucleotide ribosomal RNA is filed under the name uncultured Acidobacteriota bacterium. RNAcentral describes it as "bacterial SSU rRNA". It matches the Rfam family "Bacterial small subunit ribosomal RNA", at positions 360 to 771 of the family's 1533-position model. Lineage: Bacteria; Pseudomonadati; Acidobacteriota. The record is from RNAcentral.
AAUUUUGCGCAAUGGGCUAACGCCUGACGCAGCAACGCCGCGUGGAGGAUGAAGGUCCUUGGAUUGUAAACUCCUGUCAGCAGGGAAAAAGCGAUAAGGCCUAAUACGUCUUAGAGUUGAUUGUACCUGCAGAGGAAGCCCCGGCUAACUCUGUGCCAGCAGCCGCGGUAAUACAGAGGGGGCAAGCGUUAUUCGGAAUUAUUGGGCGUAAAGGGCGCGUAGGCGGCUUUUCAAGUGGCGGGUGAAAUCCCUCGGCUUAACCGAGGAACUGCCUGCCAGACUGGAAGGCUUGAGACCGGGAGAGGUGAGUGGAAUUCCCAGUGUAGCGGUGAAAUGCGUAGAUAUUGGGAGGAACACCAGUGGCGAAGGCGGCUCACUGGACCGGAACUGACGCUGAGGCGCGAAAGCGUGGGGAGCAA